RNAcentral lists this microRNA precursor (78 nucleotides) under Schistosoma margrebowiei. RNAcentral describes it as "mir-3492 microRNA precursor family". It matches the Rfam family "mir-3492 microRNA precursor family". The record is from Rfam by way of RNAcentral. Lineage: Eukaryota; Metazoa; Platyhelminthes; Trematoda; Strigeidida; Schistosomatidae.
ACCCUUCUGUAUCCGUGCUGAGAUUUCAUCACACACCAGACCACAAGGGCUGAUGAGACUUCCAAGAUAAGUGAAGUG